Long non-coding RNA from Aethina tumida (small hive beetle), 655 nucleotides. RefSeq lists it as uncharacterized. NCBI's taxonomy places the organism in Eukaryota, Metazoa, Arthropoda, Insecta, Coleoptera, Nitidulidae. The record is from RefSeq and is a predicted model, not a curated record. The transcript has 2 exons.
CACACUUUUAACGGAUUUUAAUGACAGCAAAACGCUUCCGCGAUUGCUGUCGUUAAACUCAGUUUGCCGUUCGUUUGUCCGUUUUUACCAAAUGUUUUAGUGUUUAUUAUGUGAAUGUCGACGUCUCGUGUUGUAUGUUCGUCCUAACUGAUUUGUGUGAUUUUAACGCCGGAUUAAUUUGCAAACAUUUUAACUGGAAAGGAGCUGUCAUUAAGAUGCACCGAACUAACCUUUAGAUGGAGCCUUCAUAAAAUGAAUUUUAUCAAAAAGUAGAACAACUGGAUCCCACAUAGAUUAAGUAGAAAAUUAAAUUAGGCAUUUGAUAAUUACCAAUUCUUUCAGAUAUUGCAACUAUUAACCUAAGUGUGGACAAUGGAUUGAAGCUAGUAAUUCCUAUGGAAAAAUGUCUAAAAAGAGUCGCUUAAUGUUUUACGUAAGUGAUCAAAUUCUUGAAAAAUUUGCUCAAGGACGACUUAGGUAAUGGCAAAGGCAUCAUCAAAAUAACGAAAAACCAUACGUCGCAUUAGAAACUAGUAGAAAGUUUCAAAAUGUUAAAUGGGAUGUUCUACCUCAACUCUACAAACAUAUAAUCCAAAUGUAUAUUCAUGUAUCUAUUAUUUAUUUUUUUUACAUUUAAUUAUGAAGAACAAAUCAA